CUUCAAAGUUCUUUUUAGAGCACUAUGCAAAGAAAGAGAAAGAAAUUCUCCACUCUAUGUGUGAACAUAUCUGCUAUUAAUGCUGAGGGGAGUUAAGUGUCUGCUUCUACAGAAGAAUUCACCCCAGUGUUCUAUACUGAAAGGACACUUCAAAAGAGCAGUGCCCACAUAAGAAACAGCAAACUGCUCUUCAGAGGCAAUAUCCUGAUAUGACAACAGAUGUAGAUAAUGUACUUCAUGAUGGAACUGCUUGAUACAGAGAGAAACAUGUUGUAACUGCCUUCACCAUGAAAGGGGUUUAAAAAUGCUGCCUGCCAACUCCACAAAAACCAGAGCUGCUAUUUCGGUUAAAGGCCAGUGGAUUGUAUUUUUCACGUCAGUUUUCACUAACCUCAAACAUCACUGUUAUGACAGACUGUCAUCCAACCAAACCAGCACUCCGGUGCCAUUCAAGCAAGCAGGAAGAAAGCAAACACAAGGAAACUUAAAAGUCCAAUUAAGGUUGGAACCCAAUUUAUUCAGAAGCUGGGGAGGACCUGAACUGGCUCUAGCAGUUCUGAAAGACAGAAAAAGCAACACAACUUUCCUCUAACAAAACUGGUACAUUCAAGGAGAAGAUGCAGGAAUCAGUCUAAGUUACCACUGAUGAUGAAAUGUCAAACCAUUCUGGCAGGUACUUGUUCAGUCUUAAGGAGCUUUAAAUUACUUCACAGCUUGAGAUUCCAGACAAUCAGGCUACCAGGACCCAUGAUGCUGAUAUGAAAGAGGACUGACUUCAAGGAUGUUGAGAAAGAAGAUAGACAUUUCCAUCUUCAUUGUUCAGGUUCUGCCUUUACAGGGGUUCCUUCAGCUACACAACUAGGUGAGUCCCUUGGCCGCAGCAAGGGAAGGGCAAGAAUGAAUGAUGGUGCCAGAUGCCCCAAGUUAACAGUCAGUGAGCUGAGAAAAGCAUGACUACAGCUAUCUU
Molecule: long non-coding RNA, 967 nt
Organism: Neopelma chrysocephalum (saffron-crested tyrant-manakin)
Lineage: Eukaryota; Metazoa; Chordata; Aves; Passeriformes; Pipridae
Exons: 5
Source: RefSeq, a predicted model, not a curated record